Molecule: long non-coding RNA, 258 nt
Organism: Haliotis rufescens (red abalone)
Lineage: Eukaryota; Metazoa; Mollusca; Gastropoda; Lepetellida; Haliotidae
Exons: 3
Source: RefSeq, a predicted model, not a curated record
CCCAAACUUACCCACCGUCGCCUAUCCAACUACCCGAGAUCAGCGUUGCUUAACUUCGCCUGAUUUGUGACCUCUGCGUUUUUCAUGUGACCACGUGCCAUAAAAAAGAGUUUGUACAACGGGAAGGACAAACAGGGGCAAACACGUGUGUGGGAUUUGAAUCAAGCUUGCAAGCAAAGGACUGUCAAUUUGCUUGAACGUCGUCUCCCUUUAAUAAACACACCUUGCGAAAAACGAAGUUGAAGACACGGGUGUUAC